This 323-nucleotide ribosomal RNA is filed under the name Vishniacozyma sp. RNAcentral's name for it is "partial large subunit ribosomal RNA". It matches the Rfam family "Eukaryotic large subunit ribosomal RNA", at positions 104 to 422 of the family's 3401-position model. Lineage: Eukaryota; Fungi; Basidiomycota; Tremellomycetes; Tremellales; Bulleribasidiaceae. The record is from RNAcentral.
GAGCUCAAAUUUAAAAUCUGGCGUCUUUCAGGCGUCCGAGUUGUAAUCUAUAGAGGCGUUUUCCGCGCCGGACCGCGUCCAAGUCUCUUGGAAUAGAGUAUCAAAGAGGGUGACAAUCCCGUACUUGACGCGACAACCGGUGCUCUGUGAUACGUUCUCAAUGAGUCGAGUUGUUUGGGAAUGCAGCUCUAAAUGGGUGGUAAAUUCCAUCUAAGGCUAAAUAUUGGCGAGAGACCGAUAGCGAACAAGUACCGUGAGGGAAAGAUGAAAAGCACUUUGGAAAGAGAGUUAAACAGCACGUGAAAUUGUUAAAAGGGAAACGA